Molecule: ribosomal RNA, 293 nt
Filed under: uncultured bacterium
Lineage: Bacteria
Description: partial 16S ribosomal RNA
Source: RNAcentral
GGACUACUGGGGUAUCUAAUCCUGUUCGCUCCCCACGCUUUCGCUCCUCAGUGUCAGUAUCGGCCCAGAGUGCCGCCUUCGCUACGGGUGUUCCUCCUGAUCUCUGCGCAUUUCACCGCUCCACCAGGAAUUCCACACUCCUCUACCGAACUCUAGUCACGGCAGUAUCGAAUGACCCCUCCAAGUUGAGCCUGGAGAUUUCACAUCCGACUUACCGAACCACCUACGAGCUCUUUACGCCCAAUAAAUCCGGACAACGCUCGCCCCCUACGUAUUACCGCGGCUGCUGGCAC